Molecule: ribosomal RNA, 774 nt
Filed under: uncultured Neocallimastigales
Lineage: Eukaryota; Fungi; Neocallimastigomycota; Neocallimastigomycetes; Neocallimastigales
Description: partial large subunit ribosomal RNA
Rfam family: Eukaryotic large subunit ribosomal RNA
Source: RNAcentral
UCAGACGAUGCGUCAUGCAUAUCAAUAAGCGGAGGAAAAGAAACUAACAAGGAUUCCCCUAGUAACGGCGAGUGAAGCGGGAAGAGCUCAAAUUUGAAAUCUUAAAGGGUUUCCCUUUACGAAUUGUAGUUUAAAGAAGUGUUUUCUGUUGAGGUUUUGGUAAAAGUUCUUUGGAAUAGGACAUCAUAGAGGGUGAGAAUCCCGUAUUUGACCUUUACUUUCAACUUUGUGAUACACUUUCAAAGAGUCGGAUUGUUUGGGAAUGCAGUCCAAAAUGGGUGGUAAAUUUCAUCUAAAGCUAAAUAUUGGCGAGAGACCGAUAGCGAGCAAGUACCGUGAGGGAAAGAUGAAAAGAACUUUGAAAAGAGAGUUAAACAGUACGUGAAAUUGUCAAAAGGGAAGCGUUUGACACCAGUGUUGUUUUUCUGAAAAUCAAUUAAAGAACUGUUUAUGCUAAGCUGUUUAGACUUUAUCAGCUAACUGUUUAGUUUUGAGCUUUUCUUUAAUGCACUUUUCAGUUAACAAGUCAACAUCAAUUUCUUUUGCUGUAAAAAAGCUUGAGGAAGGUGGCUUGAGAUUCGUCUUAAGUGUUUAUAGCCUCUUGCCUAUGCAGUCGGAGAGAUUGAGGUCUGCAGCGUAGAUCCUUCGGGGCUAAAUGCAUUUGUGCUAAGUUAUAGCAUUUUAUAGACAACUUGUUGACUAUGAUUUGUCUUGUAGCUUACUCGCUUAUGUUAUUUUACCUACGCUUAGGAUGUUGAGCGCAUGUCUCUCUCU